This is a small nuclear RNA of Python bivittatus (Burmese python), 107 nucleotides long. Lineage: Eukaryota; Metazoa; Chordata; Lepidosauria; Squamata; Pythonidae. The record is from RefSeq and is a predicted model, not a curated record.
UAUGCGGGUUGGGUGGAAUAGGGAAAGGAUUAUACUAAAAUUAGAGAAGAUUAGCAUGGCCCCUGCACAAGGAUAACAUGCAAAUUCAUGAAGCGUUCCAUAUUUUU